RNAcentral lists this ribosomal RNA (407 nucleotides) under uncultured bacterium. Its description in RNAcentral is "partial 16S ribosomal RNA". It matches the Rfam family "Bacterial small subunit ribosomal RNA", at positions 30 to 526 of the family's 1533-position model. The record is from RNAcentral.
AUUGAACGCUGGCGGCAGGCCUAACACAUGCAAGUCGAGCGGAGCGGCGGACGGGUGAGUAAUGCCUAGGAAUCUGCCUGGUAGUGGGGGAUAACGUCCGAAAAGGGGCGCUAAUCCCGCAUACUUUCAGUGGAGCUUAGGGGGGAUUAGCUAGUGGGUGGGGUAAAGGCCUACCAAGGCGACGAUCCGUACCUGGCCUGAGAGGAUGACCAGUCACACUGGAACUGAGACACGGUCCAGACUCCUACGGGAGGCAGCAGUGGGGAAUAUUGGACAAUGGGCGAAAGCCUGAUCCAGCCAUGCCGCGUGUGUGAAGAAGGUCUUCGGUUUGUAAAGCACUUUAAGUUGGGAGGCGUUACCAACAGAAUAAGCACCGGCUAACUUCGUGCCAGCAGCCGCGGUAAUUC